AUUAUAAAUCACAAUUAUUAUUCCAAAUUAAUGAAAUUAUACAAGAAGGUUGAAUUAGCCUGUCUGUAAAACACACACCUAAAUCUGAGCUAAAUGUCUGGGCUCCCAUUAAUAGUCAAAAGAGAAAAACCACCUUGGGAGUCAAAAAACCUUAAAGAAAGUAUCUGAAGUGAGCCAGAUGAAUCAUGCACUGGAAAUGCUUUGACUGGAAAGGAUACGAAUGUGUAUAACCUAGCUCACAUGUAGGCAUCUGUGUUCUACAUGUCUAGAGAUAGAGACAGAGGAGAAAAACCUCAGCAAAAUAUGUUAUGACAUAGCAUUUUAAAUCAAUAGCAAUUGUUACAUUGCCCUGGUUACAGGGAUAGUAGGCGGAGUUUAGCAUUAGGGCUGACCCGAAAUCUUUCUCUACAUCAACCCGCACAAGUUAUCGUCUCUUUAAGACUUGGAGUGAAGCAGAACCUCUGUGUUUUACUCCAGUACACAAAACAGGGAAGGGUACUUCGUGCCUUUAAUAACAAGAGACAGAAACAUGGAGCUCUCCCUUGCGUUCUUUCCGGGCUCUCAAGCAUUUCAAAAUCCCUUCAGCCGCUGCCGUAGGCCAUUUGCCGGUGUGAAAUACAAAGUUAUGUUUCGUGUCAGGGAAAUGAAGAAAAUCUGUGUAAUCAUAGUGAUGGAACACAGCCAUGGGACAGUUAUAAAGAUGAGUUCUAAUAAAUAGCUGAGGAAAGCAUGGAAGGAAGUUUUUGAAUAAAUCUUUUGCUUGCAAUUAUCUAUUAUAAGUCUCAAGCUAUUCUGCAAUUAGUGUUCUUUAAUUAUAACUUUAGAAGCUUGCUUUGUAUUAAAGAAUUUUAAACUGUAGUUUUAGAGUGCAAAAAGGUUUUUUUAGACAAAAGAAGGAAAUAAGGAGGGGGCUCAAGCCUCACACAAGGUGGGAAAACAUCCUGGACAUGAAGAUAUGACUUCAGCUCACUGAUUUAUGGCUCCUGGAGAAGGAAACUGGACAUCACUAUUGGAGAUGGAUGGACUUGAAAAUAGAGAUGGGACCCCCACAUCUGGAAGCCAGAUCCCACCACCUGGAAAAACAUAUCCUGGAAGUACAUCCUGGAGUAUUGAAAUAUCAGAAUAGAUCACAAUGGUCUAUAGAAUUAUACAGGACAAUCUAUAGAUUUAUGGCUGUUAGGUAUUGAAUUGUGACGUUAAAACUAGAAAUGGAAACUGCUGAGAAAGCUUAUGAAUAUGUAUAAAAUACCAUCAAAUCCAGCAAUAGGCGUGCAGUUGGAAGGGAAAACCCCUACCACUGUACCCAGCGCUGCCUCUUUGCUCACACUUUACCAUGUUAAUUAAUUAAUUAUUAAAUUGCUGCUUGAUAUAUUGGCCGUGUCAAGCGUCUCAUUUUUAACACCGGGGAGGGAAGGGGCUUGCCCGCUGCCGCCCGCCGCCGCCUCGCCGGAGCUCAGAGCCGCUCCACGAGUUCCCGGCGGUCCAGCAGCCGCGCCGCACCAGGGACAGCCCCUGGUGGGCGGCGUGGAGCGGGCAGCCCGGCAGCAUUGGCUGCUUUGGGACAAAACAGUUUUUCCAGAAUUUUUUUUUUUUUUUGUUCCUGUUCCCCGUUGGUUAUUCGUUUGGCGAAGAGGGAGGGCGUUCUCCACCAUCUUGUCUGUGUUCCCUGGAACAAUUAGGGCCAUCUCCUCCGCAUUUGUGAGUGCGCGUCGAACCGUUUGCCUUGUGUAUUUCUUGAUUAUUGCUGUUUUGAUAUACCCAAAGUUUACAGUCUCCUUGGGCUCAGUUGAAGAUUAAGACUAUGAUUUAUCCAGAUCACCUGAAAUGAGUUUUCAUUAUUUAUUUUAGGUAAGAGAUUCAUAAAGCCCAUAAACAUUUAUUUCUUUGAUCUUUCACAUGGAAAUUAAAUCAUAUCAACUAAGUACUUGUUCUUUAUUCCUGAAAGUUUAAGUUACAGAUGUCAUUAGAUUUAUUCAAGAGAUACAGGAAGGGCAGUACAAAUUUCUGUGCUACACAAGCUUUUGGCAUACUCCCCAAAUAGUCGUGAUUUAUAUCUUGUAAAAGUACAGUGUAAGAAUGAGCUAAAGCAGAAAUAUCUCAAAAGACUAAAAGGAAUUGUCUAGCAUGAAGCAACAUAAACCUAGUUCUUUCUACUUGAAGUUAUUAUCUUUUCUUAAACUGAAGUUGGGCAUAAUUUUUAAAACAUUUUAGCUGAAACAGAGAAAGGCACCUCCAGAGGACCAGCUUGGAAGUACCUUUUCCUCUGUGCCAACUACACAGCAAUCCUAUGUGAGGUGGAUUAUAAAUUCGGUGUUUAAGUCCAUAUUAGGAGGGAAACAUGCAAAAGCUAAGCACCUCCUGUUACCUGCACUGCUCUGGAACAGUCCAUCAGGUCACCUAUACCCUGUUUUAGCAGCCAAAGACAGUAUCUACUUCCUAGAAGGCAGACAUUGCUAUUUGGCCAGCAGAAUUUGGGGGGAUUCAACCAGACAGAAAUGAGAUUACACUCAUCUGUGUAGUUGUGAUCAAUUAGUAUAUGCUGACAGCCAGGAGGCAGGAAAGGAUGCAAGGCAGCUGAGCAGCAAUCCAUUUCUAUUAGCACUCUUGGAAGCCAUAGAGCCACAAAACUGGGAAAAAUUAACAAAAAAAUUCUAAAUGGAUGGAUCAUGCUAAGGUAGAAGCAAAUCCAUCCUUUUCAAAGGACUGGCCACAGUUGGUUUGGUGGGAUAUUUUUUAGUGUUUUUGGUUUGUUUUUGUUAGGAUGACUGUUAGACACAUUUCACAUCAUCUGUUAUUCUCAAUUUUUGCAUGCAUAAGGGUUCAGUCAACCAGCCAAAAAAAACUUGUGGCAACUUUUCAAUAAACUUUGUUUUCAAUUAAAUAUUCAUCUGUAGAAAGACAACUAGUUAAAUAAAAUCUUAGCACAAAACUCCUGUUUGCAUUAUGUUUAGACUGAACAGCAUCUCUGAAAUACAAAUCAUGAUUUGUAUUGUGAGCUUCUUUGUGAAUUUCUUCUUGUUCAAAGAUGAUGCCACCUUGUACACAAACAAGGAAAUUUCUGGCCAAAUGUUUAUGAUUUACAGAUGCAAGAACUGUACAAGUCUUUGAAAUGGAGUAGGAAGGAAGCCAGGCUCUUCGUCAGACUUUGAGUUUCAGGUUACCUGGCAUACCAGAGCUUUUCGAAAAUUUCCAUUUCUCAGCAGCCUAUAAACAGAAAAGGACUAUCCCCAGAGAGGUCUUCCCAGGAUCCAGUAUCCAACAUCUUACAGAAACAGCAGAAGGGACUUUUUUGAGCAGUGCACAGGAUGUGGAAAGAGAUAUGCACUGCCUUUGUAGUCAGUGCAAAAACUAUACAGAAGCCACAGAGGAAUAUCAAUAUCUAACUCUUAACACAGAUGAACAACUGGGGCAGGGAGCAGGAGGCGCAAAAGGGAGGCUCUCUUAAAUCCUACAUUAAGACUACUGAUUGGGAAGUAAAAACCUUUUCUAAGAGUAGAAGUAGCCUUUCAGCCUUCCAAGAGGGACUUCCAAGGAGUUUUGUUAGAGCUGUCUCUGCUGAAGGUUGUUUCAUUCUAUUUUCCAGAAACUACUUAUUAAGUUCUGAAUAAAAUCAUUUGUGGUCUGGUGCACUGGUCUGGUGCAUACAGAUAAAUCUGUACUGGAAGUGUACCUAAAAUCUGUACCCAAACAGAGGUAGACAAAGUCCACGUUAGCACUUAAAAUAGGCGAAAGAAAGAGAUAAACUGUGUAGCAUCCUCAGCACGUAUGCUCAUGUUACACGUUUUUCUAACCUGCUCUGAGUCUGGUCCUGUGGUCUAAAUGUGCUGCAGGCACAAAUUAAUGGCUGACCCAAACAGCUUUACACUGCAGGAAAAAAAGCACCUAAUUUUAAAGAUCUUAAAUAAUUUUUUACUUUUUCUUCUUCUCUAUAUUCAAUGGUCCAUGUUAUCACAUACAGUCUAGACUACCACACAUAUCAUGAGUUUUUUGGGGGAUAACAGCGUAAAAUUUUUGCAACACAGAGGUAAGUAUUAGUAAUUACUGAUCCUAGCCUUCACACUCCUGGAAAACAUUUCUAAUUUAAAAAAAUACAUUUUUUGCAAAGAAAUUAAAUUUUCAGAAUUCCAAUUCUAAACUGAAAAAUUUGUAAGGGAGCGGUUGUCUGAUGGAAGUCCAAACAUUUUAUAAAAUCUUUUCACAGAGAGUUGAUAUAUCUAUUAUUUGUCAUUUUCAUUAUUAGAAUGAAGCAUGCUUUCACUAUCUUGAAUGUCUUCAGCUUUCAUGUGAGGCAAACCAACAUUAAGAGCAAAAGUAAAAAAGAAGUUUUUACUGACAAUCAUUUCUUCUUACUAGAGUUGGGAUGUUCCCAUUCUCUAGCAAUGUCUUGUCUUAGGCUGCAAAACAUUUAACAUCAAUACACCCACCAUGUUUUUUCUAGUUUUUACCUCAAUUUCAAAGGCACUUUUGUCAAACUGCUCAGCCCCAGUGUAAAGAAAGAUUAAAAAAAAUCAUUCUGAUAUUCUCACUUUGGAAUAUCAGAGUGAUUAAUGCAGUAGCACAGCCUGCACUCAAAUAUCGUGUGCAUUCUUGAACACCACUGGAUGUCAGAACAGCCUUCAACAUUUCUCAACAACACAUUACUGUCAGCUGCCUCACUUAGACAUCUGUUGCACUUGAAAAUCCCCACCUUUCAGACAGUUUAAAGUGGACAUCCAAAACUUAAGGGACUGAAAAUCAUUACUUGCUCCAGAAUAUAUAUAUGUGUGUGUGUGUGUGUGUGUGUAUGUAUAUAUAUAUGUAUGUGUGUAUAUAUAGAUAUGUGUAGUCUUCUGUUGCAUUCAACACGUGCAUAUACAUGUAACAUGCAUAAAUGUAAAGAGAUACAAGCCAGAACAUUUGU
Long non-coding RNA from Prinia subflava (tawny-flanked prinia), 4900 nucleotides. RefSeq lists it as uncharacterized. NCBI's taxonomy places the organism in Eukaryota, Metazoa, Chordata, Aves, Passeriformes, Cisticolidae. The transcript is spliced from 3 exons. The record is from RefSeq and is a predicted model, not a curated record.